AUGCAUGUCUAAGUACAAGCCUCACUAAGGUGAAACCGCGAAUGGCUCAUUAAAUCACACCUAAUCUACUGGAUAGUUAACAGUUACUUGGAUAACUGCGGUAAUUCUGGAGCUAAUACAUGCACAAAGCCCCGAACUUACGUGAGGGGCGCUUUUAUUAGAUCAAAACCAAACGGCUCCGGCUGUUCUCUUGGUGACUCUGAAUAACUUUGGGCUGAUCGCAUAGCCUAGCGCUGGCGACAUAUCCUUCGAAGGUGUGCCCUAUCAACUGUCGACUGUGGCAUAGACGCCCACAGUGGUUUUGACGGGUAACGGGGAAUCAGGGUUCGAUUCCGGAGAGGGAGCCUUAAAAACGGCUACCACA
Molecule: ribosomal RNA, 364 nt
Filed under: Calanoida sp. USNM IZ 1448523
Lineage: Eukaryota; Metazoa; Arthropoda; Copepoda; Calanoida
Also listed under: 1 other name
Description: SSU rRNA
Rfam family: Eukaryotic small subunit ribosomal RNA
Source: RNAcentral